GAUGAACGCUGGCGGCGUGCCUAACACAUGCAAGUCGAACGAGAAAGGGGCUUCGGCCCUGAGUAAAGUGGCGCACGGGUGAGUAACACGUGGGUAACCUGCCUCUAAGAUCGGGAUAACCUGUCGAAAGACGGGCUAAUACCGGAUAAGACCACGAUUCCUGCGGGGACUGAGGUCAAAGGUAGCCUCUGCAUGCAAGCUAUCACUUAGAGAUGGGCCUGCGUACCAUUAGCUAGUUGGUAGGUAACGGCCUACCAAGGCGAAGAUGGUUAGCUGGUCUGAGAGGAUGAUCAGCCACACUGGAACUGAGACACGGUCCAGACUCCUACGGGAGGCUG
RNAcentral lists this ribosomal RNA (338 nucleotides) under uncultured Pseudomonadota bacterium. RNAcentral's name for it is "bacterial SSU rRNA". It matches the Rfam family "Bacterial small subunit ribosomal RNA", at positions 28 to 351 of the family's 1533-position model. The record is from RNAcentral. Lineage: Bacteria; Pseudomonadati; Pseudomonadota.